AGCGUACACGGUGGAUGCCCUGGCAGUCAGAGGCGAUGAAGGACGUGCUAAUCUGCGAAAAGCGCCGGCGAGGUGAUAUGAACCUUUGACCCGGCGAUGUCCGAAUGGGGAAACCCAGUGUGUUCCGACACACUAUCGUUAACUGAAUACAUAGGUUAACGAGGCGAACCGGGGGAACUGAAACAUCUAAGUACCCCGAGGAAAAGAAAUCAACCGAGAUUCCCCCAGUAGCGGCGAGCGAACGGGGAGCAGCCCAGAGUCUGAAUCAGCUUGUGUGUUAGUGGAAGCGUCUGGAAAGUCGCACGGUACAGGGUGACAGUCCCGUACACGAAAGCACACAGGUUGUGAACUCGAAGAGUAGGGCGGGACACGUGGUAUCCUGUCUGAAUAUGGGGGGACCAUCCUCCAAGGCUAAAUACUCCUGACUGACCGAUAGUGAACCAGUACCGUGAGGGAAAGGCGAAAAGAACCCCGGCGAGGGGAGUGAAAAAGAACCUGAAACCGUGUACGUACAAGCAGUGGGAGCACCUUCGGGUGUGACUGCGUACCUUUUGUAUAAUGGGUCAGCGACUUAUAUUCUGUAGCAAGGUUAACCGUAUAGGGGAGCCGAAGGGAAACCGAGUCUUAACUGGGCGUUAAGUUGCAGGGUAUAGACCCGAAACCCGGUGAUCUAGCCAUGGGCAGGUUGAAGGUUGGGUAACACUAACUGGAGGACCGAACCGACUAAUGUUGAAAAAUUAGCGGAUGACUUGUGGCUGGGGGUGAAAGGCCAAUCAAACCGGGAGAUAGCUGGUUCUCCCCGAAAGCUAUUUAGGUAGCGCCUCGUGAACUCAUCUUCGGGGGUAGAGCACUGUUUCGGCUAGGGGGUCAUCCCGACUUACCAACCCGAUGCAAACUACGAAUACCGAAGAAUGUUAUCACGGGAGACACACGGCGGGUGCUAACGUCCGUCGUGAAGAGGGAAACAACCCAGACCGCCAGCUAAGGUCCCAAAGUCAUGGUUAAGUGGGAAACGAUGUGGGAAGGCACAGACAGCCAGGAUGUUGGCUUAGAAGCAGCCAUCAUUUAAAGAAAGCGUAAUAGCUCACUGGUCGAGUCGGCCUGCGCGGAAGAUGUAACGGGGCUAAACCAUGCACCGAAGCUGCGGCAGCGACACUAUGUGUUGUUGGGUAGGGGAGCGUUCUGUAAGCCGUUGAAGGUGUGCUGUGAGGCAUGCUGGAGGUAUCAGAAGUGCGAAUGCUGACAUAAGUAACGAUAAAGCGGGUGAAAAGCCCGCUCGCCGGAAGACCAAGGGUUCCUGUCCAACGUUAAUCGGGGCAGGGUGAGUCGACCCCUAAGGCGAGGCCGAAAGGCGUAGUCGAUGGGAAACAGGUUAAUAUUCCUGUACUUGGUGUUACUGCGAAGGGGGGACGGAGAAGGCUAUGUUAGCCGGGCGACGGUUGUCCCGGUUUAAGCAUGUAGGCGGAGGUUCCAGGUAAAUCCGGUACCUUAUUAACGCUGAGGUGUGAUGACGAGGCACUACGGUGCUGAAGUAACAAAUGCCCUGCUUCCAGGAAAAGCCUCUAAGCAUCAGGUAACAUCAAAUCGUACCCCAAACCGACACAGGUGGUCAGGUAGAGAAUACCAAGGCGCUUGAGAGAACUCGGGUGAAGGAACUAGGCAAAAUGGUGCCGUAACUUCGGGAGAAGGCACGCUGAUAUGUAGGUGAAGCCCCUGCGGGUGGAGCUGAAAUCAGUCGAAGAUACCAGCUGGCUGCAACUGUUUAUUAAAAACACAGCACUGUGCAAACACGAAAGUGGACGUAUACGGUGUGACGCCUGCCCGGUGCCGGAAGGUUAAUUGAUGGGGUUAGCGGUAACGCGAAGCUCUUGAUCGAAGCCCCGGUAAACGGCGGCCGUAACUAUAACGGUCCUAAGGUAGCGAAAUUCCUUGUCGGGUAAGUUCCGACCUGCACGAAUGGCGUAAUGAUGGCCAGGCUGUCUCCACCCGAGACUCAGUGAAAUUGAACUCGCUGUGAAGAUGCAGUGUACCCGCGGCAAGACGGAAAGACCCCGUGAACCUUUACUAUAGCUUGACACUGAACACUGGUCCUUGAUGUGUAGGAUAGGUGGGAGGCUUUGAAGUGUGGACGCCAGUCUGCAUGGAGCCGUCCUUGAAAUACCACCCUUUAAUGGCUGGUGUUCUAACGUAGACCCGUGAUCCGGGUUGCGGACAGUGUCUGGUGGGUAGUUUGACUGGGGCGGUCUCCUCCCAAAGAGUAACGGAGGAGCACGAAGGUUAGCUAAUCCUGGUCGGACAUCAGGAGGUUAGUGCAAUGGCAUAAGCUAGCUUGACUGCGAGAGUGACGGCUCGAGCAGGUGCGAAAGCAGGUCAUAGUGAUCCGGUGGUUCUGAAUGGAAGGGCCAUCGCUCAACGGAUAAAAGGUACUCCGGGGAUAACAGGCUGAUACCGCCCAAGAGUUCAUAUCGACGGCGGUGUUUGGCACCUCGAUGUCGGCUCAUCACAUCCUGGGGCUGAAGUAGGUCCCAAGGGUAUGGCUGUUCGCCAUUUAAAGUGGUACGCGAGCUGGGUUUAGAACGUCGUGAGACAGUUCGGUCCCUAUCUGCCGUGGGCGCUGGAGAAUUGAGGGGGGCUGCUCCUAGUACGAGAGGACCGGAGUGGACGCAUCACUGGUGUUCGGGUUGUCAUGCCAAUGGCACUGCCCGGUAGCUAAAUGCGGAAAAGAUAAGUGCUGAAAGCAUCUAAGCACGAAACUUGCCCCGAGAUGAGUUCU
Molecule: ribosomal RNA, 2773 nt
Filed under: human gut metagenome
Description: bacterial LSU rRNA
Rfam family: Bacterial large subunit ribosomal RNA
Source: RNAcentral